UAGUUAGUUGGUAAGGUAACGGUUUACCAAGGCGAUGAUGGUUAGGGGUCCUGAGAGGGUAAACCCCCACACUGGUACUGAGACACGGACCAGACUUCUACGGAAGGCAGCAGUGAGGAAUAUUGGUCAAUGGGCGCAAGCCUGAACCAGCCAUGCCGCGUGCAGGAAGACGGCCCUACGGGUUGUAAACUGCUUUUCUGUGGGAAGAAUUCCCACCUAUCCAGGUGGGUUGACGGUACCGCAGGAAUAAGCAUCGGCUAACUCCGUGCCAGCAGCCGCGGUAAUACGGAGGAUGCAAGCGUUAUCCGGAUUUAUUGGGUUUAAAGGGUGCGCAGGCGGUGGAACAAGUCAGUGGUGAAAGCCCGGGGCUUAACUUCGGGAUUGCCAUUGAAACUGUUUCACUUGAGUGUAGUUGAGGACGGCGGAAUGAGUUGUGUAGCGGUGAAAUGCAUAGAUAUAACUCAGAACACCAAUUGCGAAGGCAGCUGUCUAGACUACAACUGACGCUGAGGCACGAAAGCGUGGGUAGCGAACAGGAUUAGAUACCCUGGUAGUCCACGCUGUAAACGAUGAUCACUCGUUGUUGGCUACUUAGUAGUCAGUGACUAAGGGAAACCGAUAAGUGAUCCACCUGGGGAGUACGUCGGCAACGAUGAAACUCAAAGGAAUUGACGGGGGCCCGCACAAGCGGAGGAACAUGUGGUUUAAUUCGAUGAUACGCGAGGAACCUUACCUGGGCUUAAAUGCUGGCUGCAUUCACGCGAAAGCGUGAUUUCCUACGGGACCGCCAGCAAGGUGCUGCAUGGUUGUCGUCAGCUCGUGCCGUGAGGUGUCGGGUUAAGUCCCAUAACGAGCGCAACCCCUAUCGUUAGUUGCCAGCAUGUAAUGGUGGGGACUCUAACGAGACUGCCGGUGUAAACCGGAGGAAGGUGGGGAUGACGUCAAAUCAGCACGGCCCUUACGUCCAGGGCUACACACGUGUUACAAUGGCCGGUACAAAGAGCAGCCACCUGGCGACAGGGUGCUAAUCUCUAAAACCGGUCUCAGUUCGGAUCGAAGUCUGCAAUUCGACUUCGUGAAGAUGGAUUCGCUAGUAAUCGCGCAUCAGCCAUGGCGCGCUGAAUAAGUUCCCGGGCCUUGUACACACCGCCCGUCAAGCCAUGGAAGCACGGGGGUACCUGAAGUCCGUAACC
This 1193-nucleotide ribosomal RNA is filed under the name uncultured organism. RNAcentral's name for it is "bacterial SSU rRNA". It matches the Rfam family "Bacterial small subunit ribosomal RNA", at positions 242 to 1435 of the family's 1533-position model. The record is from RNAcentral.